GAAGGUCUAGCAUAGUGAAGCAGGUGAUUAUGCUUCUGUUUUGUUGCCAGAUGGUGAUUCAUAGAUUUGUUCUUUUGGGAGAUCAGCCCAUAAUUGCUAUAGUUUGGAGUUGUGGACUCUGCCCUAACCCACAAAAUGACUAACAUUGCUCGAGAAAAUCAUUUUUUUUAUAUGAUGAAAUGAUGGCAUUAGGCAUAAAGAAAUGUUGAAGAGUAGGCAUCCAUACAUUGUUUAAUAGAGUAGCAAAAAUAAAAUGGCAAAUUGACUUUUGCACAUUCAUUAUAUGAUGAGUCUGGACUUUUCAGAUGGUUAUUUACUGGACUCAAACCCACAGUUUUUCAUAAUGGAGCACAGUUGUUGGCACAUAGGAGUUGAGGAGUCAC
RNAcentral lists this unclassified non-coding RNA (383 nucleotides) under Hevea brasiliensis (rubber tree). The record is from RNAcentral. Lineage: Eukaryota; Viridiplantae; Streptophyta; Magnoliopsida; Malpighiales; Euphorbiaceae.